Molecule: ribosomal RNA, 492 nt
Filed under: uncultured bacterium
Lineage: Bacteria
Description: partial 16S ribosomal RNA
Rfam family: Bacterial small subunit ribosomal RNA
Source: RNAcentral
AGUGAACGCUGGCGGUAGGCCUAACACAUGCAAGUCGAACGGCAGCACAGUAAGAGCUUGCUCUUACGGGUGGCGAGUGGCGGACGGGUGAGGAAUGCAUCGGAAUCUACUUUUUCGUGGGGGAUAACGUAGGGAAACUUACGCUAAUACCGCAUACGACCUACGGGGGAAAGCAGGGGAUCUUCUGACCUUGCGCGAUUGAAUGAGCCGAUGUCGGAUUAGCUAGUUGGCGGGGUAAAGGCCCACCAAGGCGACGAUCCGUAGCUGGUCUGAGAGGAUGAUCAGCCACACUGGAACUGAGACACGGUCCAGACUCCUACGGGAGGCAGCAGUGGGGAAUAUUGGACAAUGGGCGCAAGCCUGAUCCAGCCAUACCGCGUGGGUGAAGAAGGCCUUCGGGUUGUAAAGCCCUUUUGUUGGGAAAGAAAAGCAGCAGGUUAAUACCCCGCUGUUCUGACGGUACCCAAAGAAUAAGCACCGGCUAACUUCGUG